GGCGAGGCCGAAAGGCGUAGUUGAUGGGAAACAGGUUAAUAUUCCUGUACCUCUUGUAACUGCGAUGGGGGGACGGAGAAGGGUAGGUCAUCCGGGUGUUGGACGUCCCGGUUUAAGCGUGUAGGCGGGGAAGGUAGGCAAAUCCGCAUUCCUGUAUAACGCCAAGGCGUGAUGACGAGAGCUUCAAGCUCACAAAGUGAUUGAUCCCAUGCUUCCAAGAAAAGCCUCUAAGCUUCAGGUUACAUGAGACCGUACCGCAAACCAACUCAGGUGGGCAGGUAGAGAAUACUAAGGCGAUUGAGAGAACUCUGGUUAAGGAACUCGGCAAAAUGACACCGUAACUUCGGGAGAAGGUGUGCCCUCAUUAGGUGUAGCGAUACGCACGCGAAGCCGAAGAGGGUCGCAGAGAAAUGGCGGUAGCGACUGUUUACUAAAAACACAGCACUCUGCAAACUCGUAAGAGGAAGUAUAGGGUGUGACGCCUGCCCGGUGCCGGAAGGUUAAGGGGAUUUGUCAGCGCAAGCGAAGCUUUGAACCGAAGCCCCGGUAAACGGCGGCCGUAACUAUAACGGUCCUAAGGUAGCGAAAUUCCUUGUCGGGUAAGUUCCGACCUGCACGAAUGGCGUAACGACUUCCCCACUGUCUCGAGGAGGAUCUCAGCGAAACUGGAGUCUCGGUGCAGAUACCGAGUUCCCGCGGCUAGACGGAAAGACCCCGGAACCUUUACUGCAACUUGGCAGUGAACCUCGGUCGGGUUUGUGUAGGAUAGGUGGGAGGCGUUGAAGCGAGGGCGCUAGUCUUCGUGGAGCCAACCUUGAAAUACCACCCUGAUUCGAUUGAUGUUCUAACCCACACCAGUAAGCCUGGUGGGGAACACUGCCUGGUGGGUAGUUUGACUGGGGCGGUCGCCUCCCAAAAUGUAACGGAGGUGUGCAAAGGUCCCCUCAGCCUGAUUGGAAACCAGGCGUCGAGUGCAAACGCAUAAGGGGGCUUGACUGCAAGACUGACAAGUCGAGCAGAUACGAAAGUAGGCGUUAGUGAUCCGGUGGUCCCGCAUGGAAGGGCCAUCGCUCAUCGGCUAAAAGGUACUCUGGGGAUAACAGGCUGAUCACGCCCAAGAGUUCACAUCGACGGCGUGGUUUGGCACCUCGAUGUCGGCCCAUCGCAUCCUGGGGCUGGAGUAGGUCCCAAGGGUCCGGCUGUUCGCCGGUUAAAGCGGUACGCGAGCUGGGUUCAG
Molecule: ribosomal RNA, 1237 nt
Filed under: anaerobic digester metagenome
Description: bacterial LSU rRNA
Rfam family: Bacterial large subunit ribosomal RNA
Source: RNAcentral